Non-coding RNA from Maylandia zebra (zebra mbuna), 326 nucleotides. The record is from RefSeq and is a predicted model, not a curated record. NCBI's taxonomy places the organism in Eukaryota, Metazoa, Chordata, Actinopteri, Cichliformes, Cichlidae.
AAAGAGGCUGAAGAGGAUCUGGUCAGAGAGAUUAUAAAAUCAGCGAUGAGCGAGCAGGCUUCAGGAUUUCUUCACUAGUAAACGGCUUAACGCAGCCUCAGCGAUACUUUGGAGAUUCUUUUAAGUUUGCAUGAGCACCUGGUGAGGCUCUUUGGUCUGUUUCUCAAACCAUAUGACUGUUAACAUAUGUGUGUGUGGAAGCCUAAGAAAGACUGAAAUUAAAAUCAAGUUUAUCAGGAAGACAAGGUCUCCUGUAAAGCUGCUUGUGACCCGACCGGGCCCCAUGGACUAAGGCCCGGCCACCAGACACUCGCCCUCGGGCACCC